AGUUCAUCUCCUCCAGGCAGUAGAGCAGUGCUACAUCUAGUUCAAGGCCAUGUCAAGGUCACAAAUAUUCAUAUAUAGAAUAUAUAUUGUGAACAGAGUAUUUAAGGUUGGAGGAAAGUCCAAGAUAGUCUUGGCUUCAUCCAUCAGCUGUCAGUCACUAUGCACUUACUGAGGGCUUGAUGGAUAUUCCAGAGCAUCACCAGAAUUCUCAAAAAUGCUUCAGGCAAGCACCAAGUGAUUGGAGUUCGCACAUGAGAAGACACGUUUUCCUCCAACUCUCUUUUACAUGUCCAUCGUGGAAGAGCUCAUCUGCAGUCAUGACUUUAAAUUCCGAAAAUCCGGGGGCUCAUUUAUCCAUCUCCAGCACCUCACACAGUGUCUGGAGAACAUGAUUUGGCUUGGUUCUUUCAAUCACUUUUCUUCCUUCUGACUUUUUGAAUUGCCACUUGAGAGUCCUCCACCCAGGUAUUCCUCUGCCUCCUCCCAGGCAGCUGUGGCCGCACAGGUUUUCAUUACUGACUCUGAGGAACUCAUCGGUGCUUGAGUGGCGGCUCUCCUGAUGAACAGCGGCCAUCCCAAGCAGUUCUCAUAUUUCUAAGAUGCAGGGCUCAGAUGUUCAGCCCAGCUGCUCUCCAGCCCGAAUGCCCUUCUAAGCUGAGAUACUAUGACCUACUUUUCCCUCCCCUUUAAUAAUACAAGACAUUUGAGUUUC
This is a long non-coding RNA of Myotis lucifugus (little brown bat), 712 nucleotides long. RefSeq lists it as uncharacterized. The record is from RefSeq and is a predicted model, not a curated record. The transcript has 5 exons. NCBI's taxonomy places the organism in Eukaryota, Metazoa, Chordata, Mammalia, Chiroptera, Vespertilionidae.